CUUUGCUGGCGACCGGCGCACGGGUGAGUAACACGUAUCCAACCUGCCCUUUACUCGGGGAUAGCCUUUCGAAAGAAAGAUUAAUACCCGAUAGCAUAAUGAUUCCGCAUGUUUCAUUAUUAAAGGAUUCCGGUAAAGGAUGGGGAUGCGUUCCAUUAGGUUGUUGGUGAGGUAACGGCUCACCAAGCCUUCGAUGGAUAGGGGUUCUGAGAGGAAGGUCCCCCACAUUGGAACUGAGACACGGUCCAA
This 249-nucleotide ribosomal RNA is filed under the name uncultured bacterium. RNAcentral describes it as "partial 16S ribosomal RNA". It matches the Rfam family "Bacterial small subunit ribosomal RNA", at positions 83 to 334 of the family's 1533-position model. The record is from RNAcentral.